UAAUACGGAGGGGGCGAGUGUUGUUCGGAAUUACUGGGCGUAAAGGGCGCGCAGGCGGCCUGGCAAGUCGAGUGUGAAAUCCCUUGGCUUAACUGAGGAAUGGCGCUCGAAACUACCUCGCUGGAGGGCGGGAGAGGGAAGUGGAACUCUCGGUGUAGGGGUGAAAUCUGUAGAUAUCGAGAGGAACACCGGUGGCGAAGGCGGCUUCCUGGCCCGUACCUGACGCUGAGGCGCGAAAGCGUGGGGAGCAAACAGGAUUAGAUACCCUGGUAGUCCACGCCCUAAACGAUGGGCACUAGGUGUGGGCGGUAUUAAUCCCGCCUGUGCCGUAGCUAACGCAUUAAGUGCCCCGCCUGGGGAGUACGGUCGCAAGGCUG
Molecule: ribosomal RNA, 377 nt
Filed under: uncultured bacterium
Lineage: Bacteria
Description: bacterial SSU rRNA
Rfam family: Bacterial small subunit ribosomal RNA
Source: RNAcentral